AGAGUUUGAUCCUGGCUCAGAACGAACGCUGGCGGCGUGCCUAACACAUGCAAGUCGAACGGAAUGAGGGGCUUGCUCCUCAUUUAGUGGCGCACGGGUGAGUAACGCGUGGACAAUCUGCCCUGGUAUCUGGGAUAACAUCUCGAAAGGGGUGCUAAUACCGGAUAAGCCCACGAGAACUUCGGUUCAUGCGGGAAAAG
Molecule: ribosomal RNA, 200 nt
Filed under: uncultured bacterium
Lineage: Bacteria
Description: partial 16S ribosomal RNA
Rfam family: Bacterial small subunit ribosomal RNA
Source: RNAcentral